Molecule: ribosomal RNA, 468 nt
Filed under: uncultured bacterium
Lineage: Bacteria
Description: partial 16S ribosomal RNA
Rfam family: Bacterial small subunit ribosomal RNA
Source: RNAcentral
GACGAACGCUGGCGGCGUGCUUAACACAUGCAAGUCGAACGGACAGGCCCUGCUUUUGUGGGGUGCUCGAGUGGCGAACGGGUGAGUAACACGUGAGUAACCUGCCCUUGACUUUGGGAUAACUUCAGGAAACUGGGGCUAAUACCGGAUAGGAUCUCCUGCUGCAUGGUGUGGGUUGGAAAGUUUCGGCGGUUGGGGAUGGACUCGCGGCUUAUCAGCUUGUUGGUGUGGUAGUGGCUGACCAAGGCUUUGACGGGUAGCCGGCCUGAGAGGGUGACCGGCCACAUUGGGCCUGAGAUACGGCCCAGACUCCUACGGGCGGCAGCAGUGGGGAAUAUUGCACAAUGGGCGGAAGCCAGAUGCAGCAACGCCGCGUGCGGGAUGACGGCCUUCGGGUUGUAAACCGCUUUCGCCUGUGACGAAGCGUGAGUGACGGUAAUGGGUAAAGAAGCACCGGCUAACUACGUG